CCUACGGGAGGCUGCAGUGGGGAAUAUUGCGCAAUGGGCGAAAGCCUGACGCAGCGACGCCGCGUGAGGGAUGAAGGUCUUCGGAUCGUAAACCUCUGUCAGCAGGGAAGAACGGUCACUGUGCUAAUCAGCAGUGAAUUGACGGUACCUGCAAAGGAAGCACCGGCUAACUCCGUGCCAGCAGCCGCGGUAAUACGGAGGGUGUGAGCGUUAAUCGGAAUUACUGGGCGUAAAGCGCUCGUAGGCGGUCUGUCAAGUCAAGGGUGAAAUCCCCGGGCUCAACGUGGGAACCGCAUUUGAAACUGGCAGACUGGAGUGUGUGAGAGGAUAGUGGAAUUCCAGGUGUAGGAGUGAAAUCCGUAGAUAUCUGGAGGAACAUCAGUGGCGAAGGCGACUAUCUGGCACAUAACUGACGCUGAGGAGCGAAAGCGUGGGUAGCAAACAGGAUUAGAUACCCGGGUAGUC
This 465-nucleotide ribosomal RNA is filed under the name uncultured bacterium. Its description in RNAcentral is "partial 16S ribosomal RNA". It matches the Rfam family "Bacterial small subunit ribosomal RNA", at positions 338 to 795 of the family's 1533-position model. The record is from RNAcentral.